AGAAGUAUUGCUUAAGUCUUACUUCAGAAGAGCAGAUGGUGUUUUGCUGCUGUAUGAUGUUACAUGUGAGAAAAGCUUUCUCAACGUACGAGAAUGGGAAGGUACGGUUGAGACCUAUGGGGCGUUAUUUUGUAAAACAAACGCCAAAGAUGGUUCGAAUAUAGUGGAAGCUGUUCUCCAUCUCUCCUGGGAAGUGAAGAAAAGAACUGGUGAGGAUGACAGCAAAUCCAUUUCCAGUCUGAGUGGGACCAGUUCCAAAAAGUCAGCCGAGAUGAAUUGUUGCAAUGGUUAAAUCCCAAACAUUCUUGGCCCAUGAGGCCUUCAUUUCCAGAGUACUGAAUGAAAUCAAGAUUAUUAUCAACAUUUGAUUUCGUGAAGGUGUUCUCAAAUUUAAAGAAUAUUUUUGAUCUAGACAUUAAGAUAUGUCUUCAUAGAUGAAAAUGGAAAAUAGGCACAAAUGCUUCAACUUGAAAUUACAGGGUACAAACCCACAAAGACAGAAGACAAUAGCGACAAAAUUAUGAAACUGGAGAGCAGAUGAAAAAUUUGGAAAUGAGUUAACAACCUAAGAAAGCUGAAUCCUAAGCCAGUAGUGGGGGAAAGCUGAGAGGAAUCUAGAUUUACACUGAAGAUUUUCCAGAAGGCUCAGGAAUUGGUGGAAGCAGGAUACUGUUGCCUUUAUCUUCCAGAGAUUGAAAGACUUUUCCAUGGAGUACUGACCAGCUAAGAGGUAAGACCUCUCCCCAAGAAAUGCACCCUGCCCACAUCACCCUACAGUAAAGUUGGUAAGUUGCUCCCAUCACUCAGAGCUUUCAAUCAGGAUUUUAGCUCCCCUGAACAAUCAAAGGAUCACUGGAUUUUUGUGGAAGGCUCUAACGUGGAAAAUGGAGACCAAAUAAACAGAAAAAUAUCAAUGUGGGAGGAAUAGAUCUUAUGGAGGGAAAAAAAAGCUAUCAUUAAUAUAUUUAGAGAGAUAGACAAAACUAUCACAGCCAUGAAACAAGAACAAGGCACUAUCAAUAAGGAACAUUCACAGAGCAAAAAUAAGCUCUUAGAAAUUAAAAACAGGGGACAGAGUCAAGAUGGUGGUGUGGAAAGACACCAAGUUAAUGUCUCCCUACAACUAGGGCACCUGCCGGCCACUGGUGAGGGACCCUGAUGCCCAAAGAGAUGGGAGGAACCCCCAAGCGAACCACCAGGGGUUGGGCCGAAGCUCCUGUGGUGGGGGCUCUCUGUUGGAACCACUGGACUUAACAGAGAACCUCAGACCCCAGGGAAUAUU
This is a non-coding RNA of Delphinapterus leucas (beluga whale), 1282 nucleotides long. The record is from RefSeq and is a predicted model, not a curated record. NCBI's taxonomy places the organism in Eukaryota, Metazoa, Chordata, Mammalia, Artiodactyla, Monodontidae.